RNAcentral lists this non-coding RNA (28 nucleotides) under Bombyx mori (domestic silkworm). Lineage: Eukaryota; Metazoa; Arthropoda; Insecta; Lepidoptera; Bombycidae. The record is from RNAcentral.
UGAUAUAUAAAUAUGGUUCGGCCUUACC